Molecule: ribosomal RNA, 440 nt
Filed under: uncultured bacterium
Lineage: Bacteria
Description: partial 16S ribosomal RNA
Rfam family: Bacterial small subunit ribosomal RNA
Source: RNAcentral
CCUACGGGCGGCAGCAGUGGGGAAUAUUGCACAAUGGGGGAAACCCUGAUGCAGCGACGCCGCGUGAGUGAAGAAGUAAUUCGUUAUGUAAAGCUCUAUCAGCAGGGCAGAAAAUGACGUUACCUGAGUAAGAAGCCCCGGCUAACUACGUGCCAGCAGCCGCGGGAAUACGUAGGGGGCAAGCGUUCUCCGGAUUUACUGGGUGUAAAGGGAGCGUAGACGGCAGUGCAAGUCUGGAGUGAAAGGCGUGGGCGCAACCCCCGGACUGGUCUGGAGACUGUACGGCUAGAGUGCAGUGGAGGUAAGUGGAAUUUCUAGUGUAGCGGUGAAAUGCGUAGAUAUUAGGAGGAACACCAGUGGCGAAGGCGGCUUACUGAACUGCAACUGACGUUGAGGCUCGAAAGCGUGGGGAGCAAACAGGAUUAGAUACCCUGGUAGUC